RNAcentral lists this long non-coding RNA (621 nucleotides) under Homo sapiens (human). RNAcentral describes it as "HSALNT0408470". The record is from RNAcentral. Lineage: Eukaryota; Metazoa; Chordata; Mammalia; Primates; Hominidae.
CACACACAAAAAAAAGCACCUUCAUACAAAGAAAAAUCAGGCCUGGAACAGAUCAGCCUCCCUGCAGGAAUCAACUGAGAAAGAAUUAAUGACACUUUCGAAAGCUUUAAAUUCCAAUGAGAAAUUGAAGCCCUGGGAAUAUCUGCCUCAACAUUUUAUAGGGUGUAUGCCUGCAGUCAGUGAGAAGCACGAGGAUAUUCCGUUCCUUAUAUGUUCUGAGACAGCUGAUAACAGAAUGAAGGGGGAUUUUCUUAAAGCAUCCAUGACCCUAACAAGGAAACUGGAAGUUGCAUUCUAUUGAUCCAAGGCUAAGAAGGAAUUAAGUUGCCAUCAGAUCAAAUUCCGGCAAAGCGUCUGGAAGAGACCUGGUUGAAGAUAAUAUUGAUGAGUCUUAAAAAAAAAUGCCAGCAUUUCUACUCAUGUUUUAACAAAAAUUGGAGAGUCUAGAUUCACCCAUGAAAAGCUCUUCCUUCUCGGCUUCAAGACAUCCUAUAUAAAGGGGAAAGAAACAAACAAAAAGCUACUUCAAAGUUGAAGGAUUUGUGGAGAAUUCUUCAACUUACCCUCUCAGAGUACCUCCUGUACAACUCAAUUUAUAAAAUAAAACCUGUCAGAAAAUUC